Molecule: ribosomal RNA, 489 nt
Filed under: Metanephrops challengeri (New Zealand lobster)
Lineage: Eukaryota; Metazoa; Arthropoda; Malacostraca; Decapoda; Nephropidae
Description: partial 16S ribosomal RNA
Rfam family: Bacterial large subunit ribosomal RNA
Source: RNAcentral
GUCUGUAUGGGGUUUUAUAAAGUCUGGCCUGCCCACUGGUAUAAAANUAAAGGGCCGCGGUAUUUUAACCGUGCGAAGGUAGCAUAGUCAUUAGUCUUUUAAUUGAGGGCUUGUAUGAAAGGUUGAACAAGAAGCAAACUGUCUUGAGAAUAAAAUUUGAAUUUAACUUUUAAGUGAAAAGGCUUAAAUAUUUUAGAGGGACGAUAAGACCCUAUAAAGCUUGAUAAUUUUAUAUAUAAUUAAAUAAAUUAUUAGUAUUAUAUUAUUUAUAUAUUAAAUUAUUUCGUUGGGGCGACGAUAAUAUAAUUUGUAACUGUUUGAAAUUUUAAUUCAGAAAUAUUUGUUUUUAAUGAUCCUUUUAUUAUUGAUUAAAAAUUUAAGUUACUUUAGGGAUAACAGCGUUAUUUAUUUUGAGAGUUCAUAUCGAUAAAAAAGUUUGCGACCUCGAUGUUGAAUUAAAAUUUCUCCAUGGUGCAGUAGUUAUGGAGU